AUUGAACGCUGGCGGCAGGCUUAACACAUGCAAGUCGAGCGGGGAAGGGUAGCUUGCUACAUUACCUAGCGGCGGACGGGUGAGUAAUGCUUAGGAAUCUGCCUAUUAGUGGGGGACAACAUUCCGAAAGGAAUGCUAAUACCGCAUACGCCCUACGGGGGAAAGCAGGGGAUCUUCGGACCUUGCGCUAAUAGAUGAGCCUAAGUCAGAUUAGCUAGUUGGUGGGGUAAAGGCCUACCAAGGCGACGAUCUGUAGCGGGUCUGAGAGGAUGAUCCGCCACACUGGGACUGAGACACGGCCCAGACUCCCACGGGAGGCAGCAGUGGGGAAUAUUGGACAAUGUGCGAAAGCCUGAUCCAGCCAUGCCGCGUGUGUGAAGAAGGCCUUUUGGGUGUAAAGCACUUUAAGCGAGGAGGAGGCUACUUGGAUUAAUACUCUAGGAUAGUGGACGUUACUCGCAGAAUAAGCACCGGCUAACUCUGUGCCAGCCGCCGCGGUAA
This 501-nucleotide ribosomal RNA is filed under the name uncultured bacterium. RNAcentral's name for it is "partial 16S ribosomal RNA". It matches the Rfam family "Bacterial small subunit ribosomal RNA", at positions 30 to 523 of the family's 1533-position model. The record is from RNAcentral.